CUGCUUGCUCCUCAAGCCAACUCUCUCCACUUUCCUACUCUGCUUUACGGUUUUGCAUGGAGCAGUGGGCUGUGACAUGGGCCAUGUUCUCCUUCCCUCACUGCACCAGGAGUGAGGCUGCAGAGUGGUCGGUCCUGUGAGCAGUCAGCGUGGGAGCAAGUGCUGCAGCUCUGCAAGCAUGGGCCUUGGUGCAGCAGCAGACGUGCAUUUCCUAGAAGUAUGUGAUGGAGCACAUCCUGGGAUCAAGGUGCCGUGGUCAGGAGAAUCCUGCUCUGGACGUACAGGCUUGGCUGAGUCCGUGUGUGAGGAGCAAACGCUCAGGACCCAAGAAUGUGAAGGCAGAAGAGCAGGGACAUGUGAGGUAUCUAUAGGUGUAUCUGUAUAUCUGCACAGGAGGCCCAGCUGCCCCUGCUCUCCCCCCUCCAUGGGAACUGCCCAUGCUGGCACUCCCGGAGUCUCUUCUGGCAACAGUGACCUGGGGCGAUUCCCCCUCCAUCCGCCCGUGCCCUGCCUGGUGCCCAUCCCCACAGCAAUUCACGGUGCCGGCACGGGCAGCGCAGGCGAGCUGUGUUCAACGCCCUCUGCAUCCCGCUGCACAAAGGAUUGCAGGCAGAGGCCCAGCAGAGUGAGCACAGAAGAUUUUGGAGGGGAGAGCUGGGGCUGGUGGU
Long non-coding RNA from Numida meleagris (helmeted guineafowl), 668 nucleotides. RefSeq lists it as uncharacterized. The record is from RefSeq and is a predicted model, not a curated record. The transcript is spliced from 3 exons. Lineage: Eukaryota; Metazoa; Chordata; Aves; Galliformes; Numididae.